AUGGCGCUCGGCCUCACGCAGCUUCUUCAGAGCCAUGAUCGUUCGAAGCUUCAACAAUUGCCGGCCUCGUCUCCAUCCGACGUCGUUGUCCUGGCCUUGGAUCUGUCGGGUCCCGACCUCCCUGUCGUUGCCGGACCUUGUCUGCUCGCCAGGGUUGACUCAGGCGCGAGCCCCCUCCUAGACCUGGUGCUCCCUCGUACCUGCAAGGCGUCGCCCCCUGAACCUGUCGAUUUCCUCUUCUGCAACGAGCCGGAGCUCUCUUCUCGCUCAUCCGCUUCGACCUACCCUGUUUCAUUCGUCACUCUCGGCCAGAUCCGGCGCCUCCCUGCACCCUGGCCCCAUCCCUGGCCCCAAGUCAACGCGCCGCCCCACCGGAGUCCACCAGCGACGGUGACCUCUGCCUUCCUGCGCCCCUCUGUCGCUGUUGCUCUGCCUCCAUACGAGGAGACGAGCAGAAGCAAGCACAGCGCCUGCAUUGACCGCUCCACCACGUCGGCCCAGUGUCUCCAGUGA
RNAcentral lists this ribosomal RNA (513 nucleotides) under Triticum aestivum (bread wheat). RNAcentral's name for it is "partial small subunit ribosomal RNA". Lineage: Eukaryota; Viridiplantae; Streptophyta; Magnoliopsida; Poales; Poaceae. The record is from RNAcentral.